UAACUUCUUAUCUUUCCAAAUCUUUUUCACGGCAACAACAUCGCCUGUACGAUUGACAGGAACACAAUAAACUUUUCCUGAUCCGCCACUUCCAAUCAAAUUACUUUCCGUCAAUCCUGAGAGAAUUUUUGACACACUGAAAUUCAACCUCUGAAAUGCGGUGAGCUUCCAACCAGAACCCGAUCUGUUUCUCUUCCAAUAACUUCUGACCAUGAAGAAUGAUAAGGACAAAGCCAACAAGGACAAAAGUAUGCCGAAAGUUAAGAUCAAUGCAAGAUAUGUAGACCAAAUUUUGCUGGACUUUCGAGGUUGAGAAUUACAUAUGCUGAGUUUUGCUGAGGGGCUAGUUGCACAGAGACCUUGAUUGUCCAAGAAGCUUCCGUCAUAAGCAGGAUUUUCAAAUUCAAUUGGGAUCUUCCCAGACAGGUGAUUGGAAGAGAGAUUGAAGUUGCUGAGCUUCAGAUGCCCAAGUUGAGCUGGAAUUUGGCCAGAAAGUUGGUUUUCUGAAAGGUCCAGUGCAGUAAGGACUGGUAGAAGACCAAGUCCCGCUGGAAUUGGUCCAGAGAGUUUAUUUCGACUGAAAUUAAGAAAGUUGAGUGAUUUCCAUGACAUAAUCUCUGAUGGAAGGAAGCCAGUAAGCUGAUUCUGAUCAAGAGAAAGAGUGAUUAAGCUCGGAAGAGCAGUAAGUUCCUGAGGGAUAGUACCGUUAAAAAGGUUAUUACCGGCGUCAAAAACCUUCAAGUUCCAGGAUGACAUCCCGGUUGGAAUGUUACCUGAAAAUCUGUUAUCUCUGAUUUCCAGCCGUGUAAGACUCCGAGAUAUUUUCUCAGGAAGCUCACCGGUAAGAGAGUUGUUGCUCAUCAUUACCUGAUCCAAGUUUGGUGCUGUCCACAUGCCACUAGGAAUGUUCCCAGACAAUCCAUUAUCAUAAACCUUCACUUCUGUUAAACUAGUGCAAUUUCCAAGAGAGCUUGGUAACUCCCCAGUGAGAUUGUUCUCAUAAGCUACAAGUGUUGACAGCUUACCCCGAUAGCACAAAUGGUCUGGCAGUUUGCCAGUGAGCCUAUUCCCCGAAACCUCGAACCCUUCAAGCUCUGAAUACCUUCCAAAGUCUGGAGGCAAUGUUCCAGACAAAUUAUUGAUGAACACUCUGAACUGUUUGAGAUUUGGUAGACGGCCAAUGCUUGCUGGAACCGCACCAGAAAAACCAUUUAAAAACAAAGCUAACCAUGUUAAUUUGGUAAGGUUUCCAUAAUCUUGUGGUAUUGGGCCUGUUAAAUGGUUUGUAGAAAUAUCAAUGACAGUCAAGUUCAAUGCUUCAACCACUUGAGGUACAUACCCAGACAGGCUGUUGUUGUAGAGAUAGAUUAUACUCAACUUCUUCAACAGAAACAAAACACUUGGGAUUGUCCCAUUUAAACUGUUGGUUGCCAAAUCCAAUUCUUCCAGUGCUGCCAUUUCUCCAAGUGUUCCGGGGAGUUCUCCAAUCAAAUUCGAUCCGCGUAUAUACAAAGUCUUCAAGUUUUUCAACUUGGUGAAAUUGGAAGGUAGAUUCCAUGGCACAAGUUUUGUAUUGAAAGAGAGACUUAGGUGUUUAAGAUUGGACAAGUUACCUAUUUCUGGUGGCACGGAACCAUUAAAGUUGUUCAUAUACAGCUGCAGGUUCCUGAGCUCUUGUAACCGCCCAAUAGCCGCCGGUAUGUCACCAGAAAAGUAGUUAGCGCUAAGGUCAAGGUAUUGAAGCCGAUGCAAGCUAUCGAUAUCGUCAGGAAUCUUGCCAUCAAAGGAAUUUUGAGAGAGGUUCAAGUACUGUAGCUUUGAACAGUUGUAGAAAGCUUUUGGGAACUCUCCAGCAAAGUUGUUGUAGCUGAGAUCAAUGAGUGUGAGGUUCUUGAGAUCACAAAUGAAAGGUGGAACUGGUAGGGUGAUGUUCGUGUGGACCAGAGACAAUCCGGUGACGGAGUUGUUUGUGCAGGUGAUCUCAGGCUGCCAGGAACAGUGGGAAGUGUUUGAUGUUGAUGGAAUCCAAUGACUGAGGAACGGUGGAGAUUGCAAGUAUGACUUUAUUUUUAGCAGAACAGCUUGUUCUUGGUCUUGCAAUGACUGAGAGUUGGCAUGGCUGAUGAGGAGGAGGGGGAGGAAGAGAAGGAAGCAGAGAUGGGUGUGGAGAGAAGAUGUUAGGGUAGGUUCAGUCAUUUGGUGAUGGAGGUUCAGAAGUUGGUUUGUUCCCGCGGCAUGAACUCUGGUUUUGAUGACAAGACAAGUAAGUUAAGGGAAGUUGAUUUCCUUGUAGUGUUGGAAAGUGGAAACUUCAAAACCAUUUGCAGGGCCACAAACGAAUGCAAACUUUUGGCAAUUUGAGUGGAGGACCUGGAAAAUGAUGGUCAACGGAGACCAUUUAGCCUACCACCAAUUAGUGGAGGACCUGGAAAAUUAUGGCAAUUUGAGUGGAGGACCUGGAUUGUUCUUAUCAGUUAGCUUAGCUGUUAACUUAUUAUAUUCGAAGGUUUGUUCACAAGAAACAAAGUUAUAUCAGGAGCCCAACCAAUUGACUUUUUGUUUUGUUUUGAUCAAAUGUGGGUCAGGGGUUCGAACUUGGUACCUCAUCCAACGUGGGGAAGAGAAGUAGCACUAGACCAAGAGCUACUUGAUACCAGUUGAUAUUCUAUAUAUGUUAUGGUUAUGGCAGCUAAAAUCCUCUCCUUCCUUCCUUGCCAAAGUUUUAAACUGCAAGAAAUUAUAUUGUUAAAGCCACAAAUGUCUGCAGAAGAUAAGGCAAGUUUUCGAAUAAAACAAGGCAGGCUGAAAGCCAAACGUGACGUACGUGAAGGGCAAGACGGCAUUGAAAGUUCCUUCCUGGAAUGUCACGUGUGAACAGAGAACGCCAUUGUUGAAUGAAGACUUGAUUUAUUGCUUUUUAAUUUUAAUGGGAGACUUUGAUCCCAUAUUGUUAUUAUUUUCCACUGAUACAGACGGGAGGAGAAAAAUGAAAAAAAAAAUUCCACUGGAAUGAAAAGUUGCAGAGGUGUGACGAAAUGGCAUUAAUUGGAAAACAAGCAAGAACCUAGGUGGGUGGGUUGUUGUCCUAACACACUCACGUUUGUUUGUUUCAGUUCUAGAAGAUGCACAAAAUUUCAAUUCAUGUGGGCUUUGAACUUUGGAGAAAAGUUGAGUCAUGAUAUCAAUGGGUUUUGGUGGAAAUAGAUUUGUAGUCUGUCAAAUAUAUGGACUGCAUUAUUUCUAAAAGCUGAUAGUGAAAAGCAGUAUGCAUCCAGAUGCAGUGCAGGGCCAACAACCAAGAUGCUGGAAAAAAGAAAUGCAAGUUUUCUGUUGACCAAUCUUGGCCUCUCUUCUUCUACUCAAACUUUAUGUGUAUCAUGUGAACUUUUGACUCAAAAACCAAGCGUCAAGGACCUUGCUGAUAACUUAAUGAAAUCACAAAUUUCUUUAGAUAUUAAUUAGAUAUUAUCACGUUCGCACGUGCAGGUGCAAACUGUAUGAAGUUAGUUAUUUACCCCAAAAGAAUUCAGAAAAAUUAUUUUCAUAUUGUAUGAAGUUUGUUGACUCAAAAAAGUCACCACUCACCACUCACCACUCACCUACAGGAAGCCCACGAAAUUAGUUUGGGCCUUGACUGAUUGAAUUGACUGCUUAGGGCCCUCAGUUUUCUACUUUGUUUUUGUUUUUGGUUUUUAAUGUAAGAGAGAGUCUAAGCCCAGUUUGGUCUGGUCCGUUAUUUUCUCUCUUGAUUAAAGUCCGUUCGGCUUGGCCCAAGCCUAAUAAAUUUUGGACCGAAUUGGCCUGGCCCAUUGACUAGGCUUAGCUACAAGGGGGAGAGGUUUCUCUUACACAUACAUUACGUAUCAAGGUGUCAUGAGAGUUCAAACUAAGACCACUAGUUAGCAAGUGAAUGCCCUUUUCCACUUGGCUAGACCCCGUUGGCUCCUACUUUGUUUUAUUAUUACUGAGUUAAAAUUAAAAUAGAGAAUCCCCUAAUAUAAAUUGAAUUUCCUUAUGCUUAAAGGACUAUGUUUGGUCAGACCGAAACAAAAAGGACUGGAAAUCUCUACAAAUGAUAAAAUAGAGAAAAGGGCACUUGUUUUCACAUCCCGCAUCAAUUAGUAUCGCACCGUUGAGUAGCUACUUAUCAGAUUGGCAAAAUCCUUGAACGGCUAUAAUCUAAUGCUUGGCUAACAAGUAAAGGAUUAUGAACGGCUAUGGUUACGUGCGAGUUUAAUGAGAUUAGGAUUCGUUUUUAGUUUCGUUCUAUGUAUUUUAUUUUCAAUUUCACGUUUGUCCCAGUGAGAUUAGGAUUUCCUUAUUCUGAAAGGAUAGGAUUUUGGUCUGAAUUGUUUAUAAAUACAAGUCCACUUGUUCUCACACUUGGCAUAGCAAGAAAAGAAACCCAGUAGAGUUACCUCAAUCAAAGACGAUCCAUCAAUAUCACUAAUCUUCGUCUUCUUUUUUGACAGUGCAAGCAAACUUGUUGAAGAUGGACUUCGAGCAGUUUUAUCGUUGUUACUCUGUCUCCUCAAUUGGCAAGCCACAUGCGGAAAACGGUGAUAAAAUUAUAAUGCCGCCGUCGGCUCUCCAUCGCCUUGUUUGGGGUCCACAGGUGGCCUACCCUAUGCUGUUUCAGCUCAACAAUCCCAAUUCUGAAUCUGGACGAGUUACUCAUUGCGGGGUCUUGGAAUUUGUUGCCGAUGAGGGCUUUGUAUUUUUACCAUCUUGGAUGAUGCACAACCUGCUUUUACAAGAGGGUAACCUUGUUCAUGUCAAAAGCCAAAGCCUUGGGAAGGGAACAUAUGUCAAACUGCAACCUCACACCAAGGACUUUCUUGAUAUCUCAAACCCUAAAGCCGCUCUGGAGACGGCGUUGAGGAGCUACUCUUGUUUAACCAUUGGUGACACUAUCAUGCUUCCUUAUAACAGUAAGAAGUAUUACAUCAACAUAAUUGAAACAAAGCCCUCCUCUGCAAUCUGUAUAGUUGAUACCGACUGCGAGGUUGAUUUUGCCCCUCCUCUUGAUUAUGUGGAGCCUGAAAAGAAGCCAGCACCAUCCACUCUGCCAACGAAGAGACCACAAGAAGUUGAAGAAGAUGAACAAGAGACACCUGAAAAGAUAGCAAAGUUCAGUCCCUUUACUGGUUCAGCCAGACGAUUGGAUGGAGAACCGGUCUUGACACAAUCCGUUGCACCUGCAGUUCCCUCUCCUCCGGAACUCAGGCAGCGCCAACUGGAGAGUGAAAAUGGAACCAACAAAAAGGGUUCUAAGUCAUCAGCUUCUGCUUCACUUCAACAUUCUGGAAAGCUUGUGUUUGGUUCAAAUGUGAACCGGCCUGUGAAUGCAAUCCCAAAAGUUGCCCCAAACAACCGCAGCAGGCAAGAGCCCCCUCACAAGGCAGAAGAGCCAAAGUUGCAAGCAUUCACAGGGAAGAAGUAUACCCUGAAAGGGUGAAGUUAGGGCAUAUCGAUCCUUCAUCUAAAACAUAUGAAUUAAACGCUUAGCUAAUAUGUAAAGGGUUAGGAACGGCUAUGGUUGAAAACUUGGAUAAUAAGUAACACCCAGAGUGGGAGAAUCUGUUUCCUUUAUUAUUUGCUUGUUCUGAAUACCAUCAAUUAAAUUUUGAAGCAAUUGGAAUUGUUAUCUUUUCUACUCCUUGUUCUCUGAUUCUUCCUUUUGUAAUUUUCAUACAUGAUUGGUGCCAUUAAAAUAACAACUCAAUGUACGUAAUAAAUAUCUUUCAUACAUACAUUACACAUAAUUGGUAUUGUUUGCUUGUUAAGCUCAUUUAUCCUGGAUUGGAUUGCGUAAUAAAAUCAGGGAUGUAAACUGUGAGUAGUUUACUUUUAUUGCUUGCACUCUCAGGGAAUUAAGUUGCUUGCAUCUCUAAAUCUUCUCAAUGGUGGGAUGACUUUUGUUGAGCAUCGGAGCAAGAUAUGCAGAACCUGCUUCACUAAUUUUCUCUAAGACUGUUAUCAGAUAUACAAGCUGUAGCAUUACAUUGCAAUCACUAAUCAAGAUCAAUGCACAAUUCUGAGUUUUCUGUUCUCUGCUUUCUUCCUUAUUCUUCUCUAAAUUCCUCUACUGUCAUCAACAACAUCGCCUGUACGAUUGACAGGAACACAAUAAACUUUUCCUGAGCCGCCACUUCCAAUCAUAAUACUUUUUGAAACUCUGAAAUUCAACCUCUGAAAUAAGGUGAGCUUCCAAUCAGAAUCCGAUCUGUUUCUCUUCCAAUAAGCUCUGACCAUGAAGAAUGAUAAGGACAAAGCCAACAAGGACAAAAGUAUGCCCAAAGUUAAGAUCAAUGCAAGAUAUGUAGACCAAAUUUUGCUGGAAUUUCGAGGUUGAAAAUUACAUAUGCUGAGUUUUGCUGAGGGCCUAGCUGCACAGAGACCUUGAUUGUCCAAGAAGCUUCUGUCAUAAGCAGGAUUUUCAAAUUCAAUUGGGAUCUUCCCAGAUAGGUGAUUGGAAGAAAGAUUGAAGUUGCUGAGCUUCAGAUUCCCAAGUUGAGCUGGAAUUUGGCCAGAAAAUUGGUUUUCUGAAAGGUCCAGUUCAGUAAUGACUGGUAGAAGACCAAGUCCUGCUGGAAUUGGUCCAGAGAGUUGAUUUCGACUCAAAUUAAGAGCGUUGAGUGAUUUCCAUGAUAUAAUCUCUGAUGGAAGGAAGCCAGUAAGCUGAUUCUGAUCAAGAGAAAGAGUGAUUAAGCUAGGAAGAGUAGUAAGUUUCUGAGGGAUAGUACCGUUAAAAAGGUUAUUACCGGCGUCAAAAACCUUCAAGUUCCAGGAUGACACCCCGGUUGGAAUGUUACCUGAAAAUCUGUUAUCUCUUAUUUCCAGCCGUGUAAGAUUCCGAGACAUUUUCUCAGGAAGCUCACCGGUAAGAGAGUUGUUGCUCAUCAGCACGUGAAUCAAGUUUGGUGCUGUCCACAUGCCACUAGGAAUGUUCCCAGACAAUCCAUUACCAUAAACCUUCACUUCUGUUAAACUAGUGCAAUUUCCAAGAGAGCUUGGUAACUCCCCAGUGAGAUUGUUCUCAUAAGCUACAAGUGUUGACAGCUUACCCCAAUAGCACAAAUGGUCUGGCAGUUUGCCAGUGAGCCUAUUCCCCGAAACCUCGAACCCUUCAAGCUCUGAAUACCUUCCAAAGUCUGGAGGCAAUGUUCCAGACAAAUUAUUGAUGAACACUCUGAACUGUUUGAGAUUUGGUAAACGGCCAAUGCUUGCUGGAACAGCACCAGAAAAACCAUUUAAAAACAAAGCUAACCAUGUUAAUUUGGUAAGGUUUCCAUAAUCUUGUGGUAUUGGGCCUGUUAAAUAGUUUGUAGAAAUAUCAAUGACAGUCAAGUUCAAUGCUUCAACCACUUGAGGUACAUCCCCAGACAGGCUGUUGUUGUAGAGAUAGAUUAUACUCAAAUUCUUCAACAGAAACAAAACACUUGGGAUUGUCCCAUUUAAACUGUUGUAUGCCAAAUCCAAUUCUUCCAGUGCUGCCAUUUCUCCAAGUGUUCCGGGGAGUUCUCCAAUCAAAUUCGAUCCGCGUAUAUACAAAUUCUUCAAGUUUUUCAACUUGGUGAAAUUGGAAGGCAGAUUCCAUGGCACAAGUUUUGUAUUGAAAGAGAGACUUAGGUGUUUAAGAUUGGACAAGUUACCUAUUUCUGGUGGCACGGAACCAUUAAAGUUGUUCAUAUACAGCUGCAGGUUCCUGAGCUCUUGUAACCGCCCAAUAGCCGCCGGUAUGUCACCAGAAAAGUAGUUAGCGCUAAGGUCAAGGUAUUGAAGCCUAGGCAAGCUGUCGAUAUUGUCAGGAAUCUUGCCAUCAAAGGAAUUUUGAGAGAGGUUCAAGUACUGUAGCUUUGAACAGUUGUAGAAAGCUUUUGGGAACUCUCCAGCAAAGUAGUUGUAGCUGAGAUCAAUGAGUGUGAGGUUCUUGAGAUCACAAAUGAAAGGUGGAACUGGUAGAGUGAUUUUCGUGUUGACCAGAGACAAUCCGGUUACGGAGUUGUUUGUGCAGGUGAUCUCAGGCUGCCAGGAACAGUGGGAAGUGUUUGAUGUUGAUGGAAUCCAAUGGCUGAGGAACGGUGGAGAUUGCAAGUAUGACUUUAGUUUUAGCAGAACAGCUUGUUCUUGGUCUUGCAAUGACUGAGAGUUGGCAUGGCUGAUGAGGAGGAGGGGGAGGAAGAGAAGGAAGCAGAGAUGGAUGUGGAGAGAAGAUGUUAGGGUUGGUAUAGUCAUUUGGUGAUGGAGGUUCAGAAGUUGGUUUGUUCCCGCGGCAUGAACUCUGGUUUUGAGGACAAGACAAGUAAGUUAGGGGAAGUUGAUUUCCUUAUAGUGUUGGAAAGUGGAAACUUCAAAACCAUUUGCAGGGCCACAAACAAAUGCAAGCUUUUGGCAAUUUGAGUGGAGGACCUGGAAAAUGAUGGUCAACGGAGACCAUUUAGUCUACGACCAAUUAGUGGAGGACCUGGAAAAUGAUGGCAAUUUGAGUGGAGGAACUGGAAAAUGAUUGUGCUUAUCCGUUAGCUCAGCUGUUAACUUAUUAUAUUUAAUUGUUUUUUUACAAGAAACAAGUUAUAUCAGGAGCCCAACCAGUUGACUUUUUGUUUUGUUUUGAUCAAAUGGGGGUUCGGGGGUUUCGAACUUGGUACCUCAUCCAGCGUGAGGAAGAGAAGUAGCACUAGACCAAAAGCUACUUGAUACCAGUUGACAUUCUAUAUAUGUUAUGGUUAUGGCAGCUAAGAUCCUCUCCUUCCUUCCUUGCCAAAGUUUUAAACUGCAAGAAAUUAUAUUGUUAAAGCCGCAAAUGUCUGCAGAAGAUAAUGCAAGUUUUCGAAUAAAACAAGGCAGGCUGAAAGCCAAACGUGACGUACGUGAAAGGCAAGACGGCAUUGAAAGUUCCUUCCCGGAAUGUCACGUGUGAUCAGAGAACGCCAUUGUUGAAUGAAGACCUGAUUUAUUGCUUUUUAAUUUUUAACGGAAGACUUUGAUCCCAUAUUAUUAUUAUUUUCAAUCGAAACAUUCUGAAGGGUAAGAAGAAUAACGGCAGCACGUCUGGUUUUCCACUGAUACAGACAGGGGAAGGAGAAAAAUGGAAAAUAAAAUUCCACUGGCAAAGAAAAGUUUCAGAGGUGUGACGAAAUGGCAUUAACUCAUGUGGGUGGGUUGUUGUCCUGACCCUAACACACUCACAUUUGUUUCUUUCAGUUCCAGAAGAUGCACAAAAUUUCAAUUCAUGUGGGCUUUUAACUUUGGAGAAAAGUUGAGUGAUGAUAUCAAAUCAAUGGGUUUUGGUGGAAAUAGAUUUGUAGUCAAAUAUAUUGACUGCAUUAUUUCUAGAAGCUGAUAGUGAAAAGCAGUAUGCAUCCAGAUGCAGUGUCACUUGUGAGCUUUUGAGUCAAAAACCAAGCGUCAAGGACCUUGCUGAUAACUUAAUAAAAUCAAAAAGUUCUUUAGAUAUUAAUUAAGGGAUAUGAUUUCCCCACUCCCCUUUUCUCCACCUACACUCCCUUUUGCUUGUUAAUACUUUUUAAUCAAUUUUGUUCAUUUUCUUUCCUAUUCUACCUUUACCUUGCUGAGCAGGCCUGUGAAUGCAAUCCCGAAAGUUGCCCCAAACAACCGCAGGCAAGAGCCCCCUCACAAGGCAGAAGAGCCAAAGUUGCAAGCAUUCACAGGAAAGAAGUAUACCCUGAAAGGGUGAAGUUAGGGCAUAUAGAUCCUUCAUCUAAAACAUAUGAAUUAAACACUUAGCUAAUAUGUAAAGGGUUAGGAACGGCUAUGGUUGAAAACUUGGAUAACAACACCCAGAGUGGGAGAAUCUGUUUCCUUUAUUAUUUCCUUGUUCUGAAUACCAUCAAUUAAAUUUUGAAGCAAGUGGAACUGUUAUCUUUUCUACUCCUUGUUCUCUGAUUCUUCCUUUUGUAAUUUUCAUACAUGAUUGGUGCUAUUAAAAUAAGGGAGAUUCACUAUUAUACCCAAUAUAUGAGCUGAAAUUAUUAUUUAAAAAAAAAAAAACCCUUAUAUGAAAUAGAUUUUAGAAAGACACCCAAAGCCUAUUUACAACAUAACAAAAAGGCUUUUAGCUUAUUUUAAAUUACAAAACUAUCACUAAUUUCUUAAAACAAACCCAACUCCAAAAUCUCAUAAAAAAACCCAAAACACCAAAAGGGCAUCAAAGUAACUUAAUAAUCAAAAUUAAAUUUAAUAGGGCCACUGUCAUUUUUUAGGUUUUUUCUUUUUUUUAUAGAAAUUAAAUGGUGUAGAGUUUAUCUAUAUUAUUAGUGCUAAGAAUGGGUACAUGACUAAAUAUCCCUUAAAAUAACAACUCAAUGUACGUAAUAAAUAUCUUUCAUACAUACAUUAUACAUAAUUGGAACCGUUUGGUUGUUAAGCUCAUUUAUCCUGGAUUGGAUUGCGUAAUAAAAUAGGGGAUGUAAACUGUGAGUAGUUUACUUUUGUUGCUUGCACUCUCAGGGAAUUAAGUUGCUUGCAUCUCUAAAUCUUCUCAAUGGUGGGGUGACUUUUGUUGAGCAUCGGAGCAAGAUAUGCAGAACCUCCUUCAUGGAAGGCCUAGCAGAAGGAAGUGUCUCGGUGCAAUAGAUGCCAAGUUUGAAAACGGAGCACAUUUCAUCCAAGUAACAAGGUUCUUUGAUGUCCUGGUCCAGAGCAUCGACAAGUGGGUAGUUUUCUUGAAAGUGGUGCCGCGCCCAUUCAGCAAGAGAAGUGUGUUCGUCGCCAUCAUUAGCUUCCCUUCCAGUGGUCAACUCCAGAAGGAUGACCCCAUAACUAUAUACAUCAAUCUUCUCGUUCACUCGUGUUGUGUGAGCAUAUUCUGCCAUCAGGUUAGAAAACCCGGUUGACUGAGAUUGCUAAUGGAAACAGAGGAAAAAUAACACACGUUUCUUUAGGAACUAGACUCCAACAUUUGUGGGGGUGUAAUGUUUACCUGGGGCAAUGUAGCCGAAGGAGCCAGCAACAGCUGACAGUGUAACAAGUUCUCCGUGCUUGACCAAGAUCUUGGCUAGACCAAAAUCAGCUAUUUUUGCAUUAAAAUCAGAGUCCAACAAAAUGUUACUCGAUUUCAUGUCUCGAUGCACAACGGGUGGCACACAGUCGUGAUGCAUGUAGCAGAGGCCCCGAGCAGCUCCCACUGCAAUCUGCAACCUCUUAGGCCAGUCCAGCACAACAUGGUGGACUGAACUCGUGAGAUUGGAUGGCCUGUUUCUCUUGUGAAGCCAUUGAUCCAGGCUUCGAUUCUCUGAGUACUCAUAGACAAGAAGUUUUGAAUUGUCCUUGGAUAUACAGCACAUCAGCUUCACUAUGUUGGCAUGUCGUAUGGAACUCAAUAUCUUGACUUCUGCAAGAAAUUCUUUUUCAAGCUUCUCUUCUAACUUCUUAUCUUUCCAAAUCUUUUUCACGGCAACAACAUCGCCUGUACGAUUGACAGGAACACAAUAAACUUUUCCUGAGUCGCCGCUUCCAAUCAUAUUACUUUCUGUCAAUCCUGAGAAUUUUUGACACUCUGAAAUUCAACCUCUGAAAUGCGGUGAGCUUCCAAUCAGAAUCCGAUCUGUUUCUCUUCCAAUAAGCUUUGACCAUGAAGAAUGAUAAGGACAAAGCCCACAAGGACAAAAGUAUGCCGAAAGUUAAGAUCAAUGCACGAUAUGUAGACGAAAUUUUGCUGGACUUUAGAGGUUGAGAAUUACAUAUGCUGAGUUUUGCUGAGGGGUUAGUCGCACAGAGACCUUGAUUGUCCAAGAAGCUUACGUCAUAAGCAGGAUUUUCAAAUUCAAUUGGGAUCUUCCCAGAUAGGUGAUUGGAAGAGAGAUUGAAGUUGCUGAGCGUCAGAUGCCCAAGUUGAGCUGGAAUUUGGCCAGAAAGUUGGUUUUCUGAAAGGUCCAGUGCAGUAAGGACUGGUAGAAACCCAAGUCCCGCUGGAAUUGGUCCAGAGAGUUUAUUUCGACUGAAAUUAAGAGUGUCGAGUGAUUUCCAUGAUAUAAUCUCUGAUGGAAGGAAGCCAGUAAGCUGAUUCUGAUCAAGAGAAAGAGUGAUUAAGCUAGGAAGAGCAGUAAGUUCCUGAGGGAUAGUACCGUUAAAAAGGUUAUUACCGGCGUCAAAAACCUCCAAGUUCCAGGAUGACACCCCGGUUGGAAUGUUACCUGAAAAUCUGUUCUCUCUUAUUUCCAGCCAUGUAAGAUUCCGAGACAUUUUCUCAGGAAGCUCACCGGUAAGAGAGUUGUUGCUCAUCAGCACCAGACUCAAUUUUGGUGCUGUCCACAUGCCACUAGGAAUGUUCCCAGACAAUCCAUUAUCAUGAACCCUCACUUCUGUUAAACUAGUGCAAUUUCCAAGAGAGCUUGGCAACUCCCCAGUGAGAUUGUUCUCAUAAGCUACAAGUGUUGACAGCUUAUCCCAAUAGCACAAAUGGUCUGGCAGUUUUCCAGUGAGCCUAUUCCCCGAAACCUCGAACCCUUCAAGCUCUGAAUACCUUCCAAAGUCUGGAGGCAAUAUUCCAGACAAAUUAUUGCUGAACACACUGAACUGUUUGAGAUUUGGUAGACGGCUAAUGCUUGCUGGAACCUCACCAGAAAGAACAUUAUAAGACAAAGCUAACCAUGUUAAGUUGGUAAGCUUUCCAUAAUCAUCUGGUAUUGGGCCUGUUAAAUGGUUUUCAGAAAGAUCAAUAACUUGCAAGUUCGAUGCUUCAACCACUUGAAGUAUGUCCCCAGACAGGCUGUUCCCUAACAAAUCCAAUUCUUCCAGUGCUGCCAUUUUACCCAGUGUUCCAGGGAGCUCUCCCAUCAGAUUCGAUUCACUUAUAUACAGAGUCUUCAACUUUUUCAACUGGGUGAAAUUGGAAGGCAGGUUCCAUGGCACAAGUUCUGUAUUGUAAGAGAGACUUAGGUGUUUAAGAUUGGACAAGUUACCUAUUUCUGGUGGCACGGAACCAUUAAAGUUGUUAAUAGACAGCUGCAGAUUCCUGAGCUCUUGUAACCUCCCAAUAGCCGCCGGUAUGUCACCAGAAAAGUCGUUAACGCUAAGGUCUAUGUAUUGAAGCCCAGGCAAGCUGUCGAUAUCUUUCGGAAUCUUGCCACCAAAGGAGUUUUGAGAGAGGUUCAAGUACUGUAGCUUUGAACAGUUAUAGAAAGCUUUUGGGAACUCUCCAGCAAAGUUGUUGUGGCUGAGAUCAAUGAGUGUGAGGUUCUUGAGAUCACAAAUGAAAGGUGGAACUGGUAGGGCGAUGUUCGCGUUGACCAGAGACAAUCCGGUGACAGAGUUGUUUGUGCAGGUGAUCUCAGGCUGCCAGGAACAGUGGGAAGUGUUUGAUGUUGGUGGAAUCCAAUGGCUGAGGAAUGGUGGAGAUUGCAAGUAUGACUUUAGUUUUAGCAGGACUGCUUGUUCUUGGUCUUGCACUGACUGAGAGUUGGCAUGGCUGCUGAGGAGGAGGAGGAGGAAGAGAAGGAAGCAGAGAUGGGUGUGGAGAGAAGAUGUUGGGGUUGGUUUAGUCAUUUGGUGAGGGAGGUUCAGAAGUUGGUCUGUUCCCGCGGUUUGAACAGUCUUGGUUUGAGGACAAGUUAACUAGAAUAAGUUCAUUUCCCUUCAUUUCUUUUAAUAUAUUUAAUUUUCUCACAAUUAGUUCACUCUUUUUCGUUUGUUAUUUUCCAUUCCAACACCUUUUUCUAUUUCUUUUCCACCUUCCAUCUUUCCUCGUGUUGUUCCCUUCUUGUUUUCCUGUUUUCCCCUUUUCUCAGACCACAACAACAAAAACAAAAAACAAAAAAACAAACUUUUAGUCUCCAUCGUUGGACUGAAGGCAUGGUCAUUGAUAAUGGACCACACUGCACCAGAAACGUCUGCAGAAGAUGAGGUAAGGUAAUAAAACAAGCCAGGCCAAAGCCAAAUGUGACGUGCGGGAAGGGCAAGAAGGCAAAACUUCAAUUGAAGCUUCACUGAAGGAGGCCAAUGGAAAAAUGUGAAGGGUGAACAAAGAACGCCUUUGUUUAAUGGAGACUUUGACCCAACAAAAGUUUAGAGUUUUGGUCCCAGAUGUUGACUCGAAAAUUAUGAAUGGUACUAAGAGUAAAGGCAGGUACGUCUGGUUUUUCACUGAUAUAGACAGGAAAGAAAAUAAAAUGAAAAUAAAAUUCAACCAGAAGGAAGAAUUGCAGAUUGUGACAAAAUGCCUUAGAAUAAAAUUAAACUCACCAGUCACCACUUGCUUUGAGGACGUGAUGUGAAUCACCUAAAAGAAGCGCACAAAACCAAAAACUAAUUGUUAGAAAGAGGCCUUGAGCUUCCUUUUGUAUAAUAGUAUAGUUCUAGGUAUGCCGGAGUAGUGCAUCAUUCUCUCCUUAUGCUCAAGUUUAAAUCCUCAUUUUUGUGUAUUAGAAUAAUUUAAAAAUAAUUUAGACUAUCAUUUAUAUAAAAAUUAGUAUAGCUCUGAAGUAUUCAAAGGGAAAAAGCAUACAAGGCAUACCCUUCAUCUAAAAAAAAGGAAACAAUAUUAUUUCCUUGUUUUGUUUUUGGUCUAAGAGGGAGAAACACUUGUGUGAAACGGGGAUCACAUUGUCUUACUAUCCUCGGUCAAUCAUGGACAUAUCAUGCGGGAUAACUUUUUCACGUGGCAGUCUGUGAUCGACAUGGAAUAGCAAAACAGUGUUAUCCCUGCAAGUUUUUCUGCUAAGAGGGGCCAGUCCUAGCAGAACAAGAUGGCCAUUACCUCAAGUAGUUACAAAUAAAGGAUUAUGAACAGCGAUGGUUGAAAGCUUGGGUAACAAGUAACAGUUGGAGAGAAUAUGUUUCCUUCAUUAUUUCCUUGAUCUAAUUUCCAUCAUCAAUUAAAGCAUUGUUUUUCUAACCUAUGGGUAUAAUUGAAAAACUAAACAAAUUUUACUUCUAAUUCCUCUUGUUGAACUCAACCAAGCUUAUCAAACAUUUGUUGCCGAACUACCAACACCGUCUUCCAGUAUCUGCUCGCGCUUCGAAUUCUUGAGCAGAGGAGCACCAACAUAAUCAGUAUUUUCUCUGUGAACUCCUGGAUGGCCGCAUCGGAGCAAGAUUUGCAGAACCUCCUUCAUGGAAGGCCUAGUAGAAGGAAGUUUCUCGGUGCAAUAGAUGCCAAGUCUGAAAACGGAGCACAUUUCAUCCAAGUAGCAAGGUUCUUUGAUGUCCUUGUCCAAAGCAUCGGCAAGAGGGUUGUCUUCUUGAACAUGGCGCCAUGCCCAUUCGGCAAGAGCAGUGUGUUCGUCGCUAUCAUUAGCUUCCCUUCCGGUGGUCAACUCCAGAAGGACGACCCCAAAACUAUAUACAUCAAUCUUCUCAUUCACACGUAUCGUAUGAGCACAUUCUGCAUUCAAGUGAAAAUAAAAUAAAAUAAAAUAAAACCUGUGAGAUUGCUAAUAGAAACAGAGGAAAAAUAACACAUAUUUCUUUAGGAACUAACUUUAACAUUUGUAGGGUGCAAGGUUUACCUGGAGCAAUGUAGCCAAAGGAGCCAGCAACAGCCGACAUUGUAGCAAGUUCUCCUUGCUUGACCAACAUCUUGGCUAGACCAAAAUCUGCUAUUUUUGCAUUAAAAUCAGAGUCUAACAAGAUGUUACUCGAUUUCACAUCUCGAUGCACAACGGGCGGCACACAGUCAUGAUGCAUAUAGUGGAGGCCCUGAGCAGCCCCCACUGCAAUAUGCAACCUCUUAGGCCAGUCCAGCACAACAUGGUGGACUGACCUAGAGAGAUUGGAUGGCCUGUUUCUCUUGUGCAGCCAUCGAUCCAGACUUCGAUUCUCCGAGUACUCAUAGACAAGUAGUUUUGAAUUGUCCUUGGAUAUACAGCACAUCAGCUUCACUAUGUUGGCAUGUCGAAUGGAACUCAAUAUCUUGACUUCUGCAAGAAAUUCUUUUUCAAGCUUCUCUUCUAACUUCUUAUCUUUCCAAAUCUUUUUCACGGCAACAACAUCGCCUGUACGAUUGACAGGAACACAAUAAACUUUUCCUGAGCCGCCACUUCCAAUCAUAUUACUUUCUGUCAAUCCUGAGAGAAUUUUUGACACUCUGAAAUUCAACCUCUGAAAAGCGGUGAGCUUCCAAUCAAAAUCCGAUCUGUUUCUCUUCCAAUAAGCUCUGACCAUGAAGAAUGAUAAGGACAAAGCCAACAAGGACAAAAGUAUGCCGAAAGUUAAGAUCAAUGCAAGAUAUGUAGACCAAAUUUUGCUGGACUUUCGAGGUUGAGAAUUACAUAUGCUGAGUUUUGCUGAGGGGCUAGUUGCACAGAGAUCUUGAUUGUCCAAGAAGCUUCCGUCAUAAGCAGGAUUUUCAAAUUCAAUUGGGAUCUUCCCAGAUAGGUGAUUGGAAGAGAGAUUGAAGUUGCUGAGCUUCAGAUGCCCAAGUUGAGCUGGAAUUUGGCCAGAAAGUUGGUUUUCUGAAAGGUCCAGUGCAGUAAGGACUGGUAGAAGACCAAGUCUCGCUGGAAUUGGUCCAGAG
Molecule: long non-coding RNA, 16477 nt
Filed under: Prunus persica (peach)
Lineage: Eukaryota; Viridiplantae; Streptophyta; Magnoliopsida; Rosales; Rosaceae
Description: long non-coding RNA (PPER_LNC007496)
Source: RNAcentral